GUAGGGUGCAAGCGUUAAUCGGAAUUACUGGGCGUAAAGCGUGCGCAGGCGGUUUUGUAAGUCUGUCGUGAAAGCCCCGGGCUCAACCUGGGAAUUGCGAUGGAGACUGCAAGGCUUGAAUCUGGCAGAGGGGGGUAGAAUUCCACGUGUAGCAGUGAAAUGCGUAGAGAUGUGGAGGAACACCGAUGGCGAAGGCAGCCCCCUGGGUCAAGAUUGACGCUCAUGCACGAAAGCGUGGGGGGAGCAAACAGGAUUAGAUACCCUGGUAGUCCACGCCCCUAAACGAUGUCUACUAGUUGUCGGGUUUUAAUUAACUUGGUAAACGCAGCUAACGCGUGAAGUAGACCGCCUGGGGAGUACGGUCGCAAGAUUAA
This 374-nucleotide ribosomal RNA is filed under the name uncultured organism. Its description in RNAcentral is "partial 16S ribosomal RNA". It matches the Rfam family "Bacterial small subunit ribosomal RNA", at positions 527 to 897 of the family's 1533-position model. The record is from RNAcentral.